CGCAGCAAACGCAAAACAUCAACGACUCGACAUGGCACGACUGGCCACUACUUGUAGUGGCGGCAAAAGACANCGCUUUCGAAACGGCAUGNGGCAGGUCUGCGACACGGCAAAUUCAUGAGAAUUCAGUUUUGUUUCGACCAUCGUGCGGUAAGGAAGUUCUAACGGGAAAACUGCNAGUCAAAUCUAAAAAAGCAGCAUAGUGUGGUAAACACUUGAAGCAGCUUGAAGCUUGUGGCGUGUGUUGAGCAAAGUAUAAAAGUGAUAAAAGCUAACUGAAUGCAAGCCUGCAUAUAAUGAGUUAAAAACUCCAAUAAAAAUGAAAGAAACUACUUAAGCGUUAAGUUUGUAAUACCCCCGAGAGGUGCACACCCUCGGUAUGUAAUUCCAUUAGCGCUCGGCAAUUGAAUAUUUGCAUAACACCUUUUUAUGAACACGACUCACAGGAAGUGUGCAAGCAAUAAGUAAAUGUGCAAAAUAAAGAAUAAUACAAAAACAAAGUGCACAAAAAAAAUAAAACUUUAGAACCGGCGCCAAUAAAGUGUUUUCGGGGACGCACACGCUCGUAAAAUCUCAACUACACUAAAAAUACAAANAAAAAAGUUUACGCCAAAAACAAAAACAACGCAGAGUUGGAAGUGAGUGUAAGAGCGCGAAGGAGUGUACGUAAGCAAAGCAAAUAAAGCNAAAUCUGCAGAGACAAAAACACACGCACAUAACGACAGUCAGUCGGCGUAGCAGGAGUCACGCUUCGGCGCCUUGGCNGCCCACUAGGCGUGUUAAUCCUUCGACAGCGACAGAGCAGCUGAGUUAAGUGACAGAAAGCAGCUGCUUUUAAUGGCACGUAAAUAAUGAAAAAGACCUAUAUGUAUUCAUAUACUUAUUUGUGCAAAAGUAAAGCGAUAAAAGAAUAAAAUCCGCAAAGCUGCAAGCAGUAAAAAGUUCUGCUCUCCACAGUAAAAGCGCGCAAAUAAAAAUUACACAAACGAAAUCAUAUUAAAUACAAUAAAAAAUUUUAAUUUCCCGGAAAUNAAAUUUAUAAAAGCUGAAAGUCACAACAGCAUGCGCACAAACCGUUAAUAAAUGGUCCGGCUGCGGAUUUUCAGUGUUCGCGCGCUUAUUUUUGGUCGCCGCUCGCAAUUAAAAAUGGCUUAACACACACAGCAGUCAGCGCUUGCACGUGUAUUUGUGUGUGUGUUGGUGUUUAUCGAAUUUUCAUGUUCGCUGCGCACGACCCGCAUGUUAUUGUUGUUGCAAUUAUCGAAUAGUUUGUGACAUUUCGGAAAAGUUGUGAAUUGCAGAAACAAAUUGGUGCAAAAAGCAACAAAAAGUAAACACAAAAACAAAAGCAACAAAAAUCCAAAUUACAAAAACGAAACUGGUGUGAAUGAAAAUGUGNAUGCACACGGUGAGAAAAGUGCAAAAAUAAAAAAUAAAACACAAAUGUUGCUCAGCUGUAAUCAGUGUCACAGUUUUUAGUUUCGCAAAGCAGAGAAAGACUCCUCACUGACGAAGGAUAAAACGAGCGCUGAGUGUUCAGUCGACUACUUCCAUGCAAACUUCAUCACGAGGACACCGACUAACGGACAAACUACAACGUAAGUG
This 1605-nucleotide long non-coding RNA is filed under the name Bactrocera latifrons. Its description in RNAcentral is "uncharacterized LOC108969607, transcript variant X1". The record is from RNAcentral. Lineage: Eukaryota; Metazoa; Arthropoda; Insecta; Diptera; Tephritidae.